AUAUCAAUAAGCGGAGGAAAAGAAACUAACAAGGAUUCCCCUAGUAACGGCGAGUGAAGCGGGAACAGCUCAAAUUUGAAAUCUCUCUGUUUUGCAGAGCGAAUUGUAGUUUAAAGAAUCGUUUUCGGAAAGAGUCGCUGGUACAAGUUCAUUGGAACAUGACAUCAUAGAGGGUGAAAAUCCCGUCUUUGACCAGUGUGCGAUUUCUAUGUGAUACGUUUUCUAAGAGUCGGUUUGUUUGGGAAUGCAGACCAAAAUGGGUGGUAAAUACCAUCUAAAGCUAAAUAUUGGCGAGAGACCGAUAGCGCACAAGUA
Molecule: ribosomal RNA, 315 nt
Filed under: uncultured Rhizophydiales
Lineage: Eukaryota; Fungi; Chytridiomycota; Chytridiomycetes; Rhizophydiales
Description: partial large subunit ribosomal RNA
Rfam family: Eukaryotic large subunit ribosomal RNA
Source: RNAcentral